GGUUAACGCUGGCGGCGUGCCUAACACAUGCAAGUCGAGCGAGGGCUCUUUUCCCGCAAGGGAAGGGAGUUCCUAGCGGCGAACGGGUGAGUAACACGUGGGCAACCUGUCCUCUCGCGGGGGAUAACACCGGGAAACCGGUGCUAAUACCGCAUGUCAUCGUCGAUCGCAUGGUUGGCGAGAAAAGCAGCAAUGCACGAGAGGGUGGGCCCGCGGCCUAUCAGCUAGUUGGUGGGGUAACGGCCUACCAAGGCUAUGACGGGUAGCUGGUCUGAGA
Molecule: ribosomal RNA, 277 nt
Filed under: uncultured bacterium
Lineage: Bacteria
Description: partial 16S ribosomal RNA
Rfam family: Bacterial small subunit ribosomal RNA
Source: RNAcentral